This is a long non-coding RNA of Cucumis sativus (cucumber), 965 nucleotides long. RefSeq lists it as uncharacterized. NCBI's taxonomy places the organism in Eukaryota, Viridiplantae, Streptophyta, Magnoliopsida, Cucurbitales, Cucurbitaceae. The record is from RefSeq and is a predicted model, not a curated record. The transcript is spliced from 4 exons.
AGUUUUUGUUGGAAACAGUUCCACUCAAUCUGACUGCAAUUGAAUUCCACAAAACAAACUACAUCAAAAUCUUCUGUAGUAACUUCACACGUUCCUGAUGUCGCUUCCGCAAUCGAGGACUUGUUGGAGCAGACAACUAAGGUUCAUCAUCAAAAACCACCGUAGCCGAUCGUGGGGAUCCUAACGAUCCCCGAGUAAGAUUAAAACGUGAUUGUGUUGGGAUUAUGGCUGCUUUCAAACUUGAGCAGCCUUUUCAUCAUGUUGUAAUUCUAGCCAACACCCAUCUUUGUUGGGAUCCAGAAUGGGCUGAUGUGAAGCUCGCUCAGGCUAAGUAUCUUUUAUCACGCCUAGCUCGAUUCAAAUCUUUAGUUGCUGAAAAGUUUGAAUGCACACCCUCAGUACUUUUGGCUGGCGAUUUCAAUUCAACCCCAGGAGAUAAGUUGUGGCAGGUACACAUUGUGUUAUACACUUAUGUAUGUAAUAUACUGAAGAUGGGACCGUUGGGCAUAUAUGACGGCUUUAGUGAAACACAAACGGAGUCUCAGGUGUGUGCCCAUCUUUCUUUUUGCCAACUAUAACUCUUAUCAAUUAUAGUAAUUUUUUUAAAAUUUGCCAUCAUUUUUGACAACUUGAUUACAAGAGGACUAAAGAACGAACUACAACUCAUAAGAUUUUUUAUGGAGUAGGAAUUAGGGUAUUAUGGACAAAUUCUUAAUAUAUUAGGAUUAGGAUUAGUUUCUUAUAUUAAUUAGAAUUAGGAUUAGUUUGAUUUUAAUAGAGUACUUGUCUUCUUGUAUUCACAAAUUUAAAUAUUAAUAAAAUUAAGUCAUUUGGUCUACACCAUAAAAAAUUGUCAUCGAUGGAAAAUUGGAAAACUUUUCGUGAUGCUGAUCACAAGAGGGAGCUUUGUGAGUUGUUCUCAUUGCUAAACAACACAAAUCUAACUGGGAGAACCCUUAAAAUUU